This 253-nucleotide ribosomal RNA is filed under the name uncultured bacterium. RNAcentral's name for it is "partial 16S ribosomal RNA". It matches the Rfam family "Bacterial small subunit ribosomal RNA", at positions 524 to 776 of the family's 1533-position model. The record is from RNAcentral.
UACGUAGGGUGCGAGCGUUGUCCGGAAUUACUGGGCGUAAAGAGCUCGUAGGUGGUUUGUCGCGUUGUUCGUGAAAACUCACAACUCAAUUGUGGGCGUGCGGGCGAUACGGGCAGACUGGAGUACUGCAGGGGAGACUGGAAUUCCUGGUGUAGCGGUGGAAUGCGCAGAUAUCAAGAGGAACACCAGUGGCGAAGGCGAGUCCCUGGACGAUACCUGACACUGAGGCACGAAAGCUAGGGGAGCAAACGGG